Molecule: transfer RNA, 76 nt
Filed under: Candidatus Nomurabacteria bacterium RIFCSPLOWO2_01_FULL_40_18
Lineage: Bacteria; Candidatus Nomuraibacteriota
Description: tRNA-Arg
Rfam family: tRNA
About the family: Transfer RNA (tRNA) molecules are approximately 80 nucleotides in length. Their secondary structure includes four short double-helical elements and three loops (D, anti-codon, and T loops).
Source: RNAcentral
GCGCUCGUAGCUCAACGGAUAGAGCACUUGUCUUCGGAACAAGGGGUUGGGGGUUCGAUUCCCUCCGAGCGCACAA